Molecule: ribosomal RNA, 630 nt
Filed under: Phellinus sp. P12
Lineage: Eukaryota; Fungi; Basidiomycota; Agaricomycetes; Hymenochaetales; Hymenochaetaceae
Description: eukaryotic LSU rRNA
Rfam family: Eukaryotic large subunit ribosomal RNA
Source: RNAcentral
UUGACCUCAAAUCAGGUAGGACUACCCGCUGAACUUAAGCAUAUCAAUAAGCGGAGGAAAAGAAACUAACAAGGAUUCCCCUAGUAACUGCGAGUGAAGCGGGAAAAGCUCAAAUUUAAAAUCUGGCAGUUUCACUGUCCGAGUUGUAAUCUGGAGAAGCGUUUUCUGCGUCAGACCGUGUACAAGUCUCUUGGAACAGAGCGUCAUAGAGGGUGAGAAUCCCGUCCAUGACACGGACUCCCGAUGCUUUGUGAUACGCUCUCGAAGAGUCGAGUUGUUUGGGAAUGCAGCUCAAAAUGGGUGGUAAGCUCCAUCUAAAGCUAAAUAUUGGCGAGAGACCGAUAGCGAACAAGUACCGUGAGGGAAAGAUGAAAAGCACUUUGGAAAGAGAGUUAAACAGUACGUGAAAUUGUUGAAAGGGAAACGCUUGAAGUCAGUCGCAUCUUACUUGACUCAGCCUUGCUUUGGCUUGGUGUAUUUCAAGUAGGGUGGGUCAACAUCAAUUUUGAUCGGUGGACAAGGGGAAAGGGAAUGUGGCACUCUUUGGGGUGUGUUAUAGCCUUUUCUCAUAUACAUCGGUUGGGAUUGAGGUCCGCAGCAUGCCCUUGUGGCCGGAGGUUUACCUAACGU